UUACUCUCAACCAUGUCUUCGAUUCGAUUCGAGGCAUGGCUUGGAUUUGGGAGCUUGCCGGCCUUGUGGUCGACUCUCCUUAAAUGCAUUAGCGAAAUGGGACGCGUCAGUGGGUCCGGCGGGCAAUCGAUAGCCUUUCGACGUGAUAACGAUCGUAUGUCGGAGUCGAGGCUCGCGCGUCGGGCGUAAGACAUGUUCUCUUUUGCUUCCAAUCCCCAACCUGCUUUAGCUAGUAGUCGGUCGAUCCGACCUUCGAACGCAAAGAGCAGACCAUCGACCA
Molecule: unclassified non-coding RNA, 280 nt
Filed under: uncultured Xerocomus
Lineage: Eukaryota; Fungi; Basidiomycota; Agaricomycetes; Boletales; Boletaceae
Description: sequence contains ITS2
Source: RNAcentral